GAUGGCGACCGGCGCACGGGUGAGUAACACGUAUCCAACCUGCCGAUAACUCGGGGAUAGCCUUUCGAAAGAAAGAUUAAUACCCGAUGGUAUAAUCAGACCGCAUGGUCUUGUUAUUAAAGAAUUUCGGUUAUCGAUGGGGAUGCGUUCCAUUAGGCAGUUGGUGAGGUAACGGCUCACCAAACCUUCGAUGGAUAGGGGUUCCGAGAGGAAGGUCCCCCACAUUGGAACUGAGACACGGUCCAAACUCCUACGGGAGGCAGCAGUGAGGAAUAUUGGUCAAUGGGCGCAGGCCUGAACCAGCCAAGUAGCGUGAAGGAUGACUGCCCUAUGGGUUGUAAACUUCUUUUAUAUGGGAAUAAAGUUUUCCACGUGUGGAAUUUUGUAUGUACCAUAUGAAUAAGGAUCGGCUAACUCCGUGCCAGCAGCCGCGGUAAUGCGGAGGAUCCGAGCGUUAUCCGGAUUUAUUGGGUUUAAAGGGAGCGUAGGUGGACAGUUAAGUCAGUUGUGAAAGUUUGCGGCUCAACCCUAAAAUUGCAGUUGAUACUGGCUGUCUUGAGUACAGUAGAGGUGGGCGGAAUUCGUGGUGUAGCGGUGAAAUGCUUAGAUAUCACGAAG
RNAcentral lists this ribosomal RNA (618 nucleotides) under uncultured Bacteroidales bacterium. Its description in RNAcentral is "bacterial SSU rRNA". It matches the Rfam family "Bacterial small subunit ribosomal RNA", at positions 87 to 704 of the family's 1533-position model. The record is from RNAcentral. Lineage: Bacteria; Pseudomonadati; Bacteroidota; Bacteroidia; Bacteroidales.